This 91-nucleotide transfer RNA is filed under the name Leifsonia xyli subsp. xyli str. CTCB07. RNAcentral describes it as "tRNA-Leu". It matches the Rfam family "tRNA". From Rfam's summary of the family: Transfer RNA (tRNA) molecules are approximately 80 nucleotides in length. Their secondary structure includes four short double-helical elements and three loops (D, anti-codon, and T loops). Further hydrogen bonds mediate the characteristic L-shaped molecular structure. tRNAs have two regions of fundamental functional importance: the anti-codon, which is responsible for specific mRNA codon recognition, and the 3' end, to which the tRNAs corresponding amino acid is attached (by aminoacyl-tRNA synthetases). tRNAs cope with the degeneracy of the genetic code in two manners: having more than one tRNA (with a specific anti-codon) for a particular amino acid; and 'wobble' base-pairing, i.e. permitting non-standard base-pairing at the 3rd anti-codon position. Lineage: Bacteria; Bacillati; Actinomycetota; Actinomycetes; Micrococcales; Microbacteriaceae. The record is from RNAcentral.
GUCCGGGUGGCGGAAAUGGCAGACGCGCUAGCUUGAGGUGCUAGUGCCCGUAUAGGGCGUGGGGGUUCAAGUCCCCCCUCGGACACCGGUU